AUACGGAGGGUGCAAGCGUUAAUCGGAAUUACUGGGCGUAAAGCGCGCGUAGGCGGUUUGAUCAGUCGGAUGUGAAAGCCCUGGGCUCAACCUGGGAACUGCAUUCGAUACUGUCAGACUAGAAUAUGGUAGAGGGUAGUGGAAUUCCUGGUGUAGCGGUGAAAUGCGUAGAUAUCAGGAGGAACAUCAGUGGCGAAGGCGGCUACCUGGACCAAUAUUGACGCUGAGGUGCGAAAGCGUGGGUAGCAAACGGGAUUAGAAACCCUAGUAGUCC
RNAcentral lists this ribosomal RNA (274 nucleotides) under uncultured bacterium. RNAcentral's name for it is "partial 16S ribosomal RNA". It matches the Rfam family "Bacterial small subunit ribosomal RNA", at positions 523 to 796 of the family's 1533-position model. The record is from RNAcentral.